This 421-nucleotide ribosomal RNA is filed under the name uncultured bacterium. Its description in RNAcentral is "partial 16S ribosomal RNA". It matches the Rfam family "Bacterial small subunit ribosomal RNA", at positions 360 to 773 of the family's 1533-position model. The record is from RNAcentral.
AAUAUUGGACAAUGGGCGUAACCCUGAUCCAGCCUUGCCGCGUGUGUGAAUCAGGUCUUCGGAUUGUAAAGCACUUUUAGUUGGGAGGAAUGGCCUUAGGUUCAUAUCCUGAAGUUUUGCCUUUACCAACAGAACAUGCACCGGCUAACUCUCUGCCUGCAGCCCCGGUAAUACAGAGGGUGCAAGCGUUAAUCGGAAUUACUGGGCGUAAAGCGCGCGUAGGUGGUUCAGUAAGAUGGGUGUGAAAUCCCCGGGCUUAACCUGGGAACUGCUUUCAUAACUGCUGAGCUAGAGUACGGUAGAGGGUAGUGGAAUUUCCUGUGUAGCGGUGAAAUGCGUAGAUAUAGGAAGGAACACCAGUGGCGAAGGCGACUACCUGGACUGAUACUGACACUGAGGUGCGAAAGCGUGGGGAGCAAAC